UACGUAGGGACCAAGCGUUGUUCGGAUUUACUGGGCGUAAAGGGCGCGUAGGCGGCGUGGUAAGUCACUUGUGAAAUCUCUGAGCUUAACUCAGAACGGCCAAGUGAUACUGCUGUGCUCGAGUGUGGAAGGGGCAAUCGGAAUUCUUGGUGUAGCGGUGAAAUGCGUAGAUAUCAAGAGGAACACCUGAGGUGAAGACGGGUUACUGGGCCAACACUGACGCUGAGGCGCGAAAGCCAGGGGAGCGAACGGG
RNAcentral lists this ribosomal RNA (253 nucleotides) under uncultured bacterium. RNAcentral describes it as "partial 16S ribosomal RNA". It matches the Rfam family "Bacterial small subunit ribosomal RNA", at positions 524 to 776 of the family's 1533-position model. The record is from RNAcentral.